UACGGAGGGGACUAGCGUUGUUCGGAAUUACUGGGCGUAAAGCGCACGUAGGCGGAUUUGUAAGUCAGGGGUGAAAUCCCGGGGCUCAACCUCGGAACUGCCUUUGAUACUGCAAAUCUCGAGUCCGGAAGAGGUGAGUGGAAUUCCUAGUGUAGAGGUGAAAUUCGUAGAUAUUGGGAAGAACACCGGUGGCGAAGGCGGCGCUCUGGACCGAGACUGACGCUGAGGCGCGAAAGCGUGGGGAGCAA
This 248-nucleotide ribosomal RNA is filed under the name uncultured bacterium. Its description in RNAcentral is "partial 16S ribosomal RNA". It matches the Rfam family "Bacterial small subunit ribosomal RNA", at positions 524 to 771 of the family's 1533-position model. The record is from RNAcentral.